UCCGAGCACCCGCCAAGAUGGCUGAAGUGGAGCAGAAGAAGAAGCAGACCUUCCGCAAGUUCACCUAUCGUGGCGUGGACCUCGACCAGCUGCUGGACAUGUCCUAUGAGCAGCUGAUGCAGUUGUACAGUGCCCGCCAGAGACGGCGCCUGAACCGCGGCCUGCGGCGGAAGCAGCACUCCCUGCCCAAGCGCUUGAGAAAAGCCAAGAAGGAGGCACCGCCCAUGGAGAAGCGGGAGGUGGUGAAGACUCACCUGAGGGACAUGAUCAUUCUGCCUGAGAUGCUCAGCAGCAUGGUGGGCGUGUACAAUGGCAAGACCUUCAACCAGGUGGAGAUCAAACCAGAGAUGAUCGGACACUACCUGGGCGAGUUCUCCAUCACCUACAAGCCCGUGAAGCACGGCCGGCCCGGUAUUGGUGCCACCCACUCCUCCCGGUUCAUCCCCCUCAAGUAGCCGAGGCCAAUAAAGACUGGUGUUUUUGAAAAAAAAAAAAAAAAAAAAAAAAAA
This is an RNA transcript of Grammomys surdaster, 509 nucleotides long. It is a transcript of the gene named 40S ribosomal protein S15 pseudogene, with no coding region annotated. NCBI's taxonomy places the organism in Eukaryota, Metazoa, Chordata, Mammalia, Rodentia, Muridae. The record is from RefSeq and is a predicted model, not a curated record. The transcript has a single exon.